CAGGAAAGGUCGGAGAGUCAAUAUAAAGGCUAAGGAAUAAAUUAAGUAAAGAAGCAAGAAGAAAAAAAAAGGGUGAGUUAACCUACUUCGAGGAAAGAUCCCAGAGAGUCCCAGACCUGCAGCUCGGGAUCAGCAAGGACGAUCCUCUCGACAACCUCGGGCAGAAUGCACCCUUCGACUAGCCUCUUUAUCAAAUCCUUGUUGUUGAAAGGAUUUUCCCCCAGGUCUUCCUCGAAGCCGC
RNAcentral lists this long non-coding RNA (241 nucleotides) under Elaeis guineensis (African oil palm). RNAcentral's name for it is "long non-coding RNA (EGUI_LNC040456)". Lineage: Eukaryota; Viridiplantae; Streptophyta; Magnoliopsida; Arecales; Arecaceae. The record is from RNAcentral.